RNAcentral lists this non-coding RNA (27 nucleotides) under Bombyx mori (domestic silkworm). Lineage: Eukaryota; Metazoa; Arthropoda; Insecta; Lepidoptera; Bombycidae. The record is from RNAcentral.
UCACGGUCGUAAGGAGAAUAUUUGGUU